AGCAAGAGCGGGCCAGGGGGCACGGGGCGUGGCCUAAGCGGAGGCGGAGCCUGGAGAGCAGGCGAAGUGGCCUGGAGCAGGGGGCGGUGCCCAGCUGGUCCUGGGUAGCGGGCCUAGACCAGGAGGCCGGCCGGGAGUGGGGCGGAGCCUGGGGAGUCCGUGAUGAGGCCGGGGGCAGGGGGCGGGGCCUAGUGGGGUCCCGGAUGCGGCAGACGCCUGGAGCGGGAGAGAACACUUCGUUUCUGAUGCUUGUGGUCACCAAAUGCGUGGAGGUUUUUUCCCCCACACAAUUCUCUCUAACACCAGCUCAAGUCUGACACCAUCAACCCGGAGAUGGGACCAGACCCCACAGGUUAAGGGCUCAGCCCCACAGGACUGCCCCGACCUCCACUUCAGCUGCCACUGUCCCCUGUGCUUCUGACUGACUCACUACAGAUGGGAGGCUCCCACAAGCCCCUCCUAAGGUUAGUUUGCUAAAGCAGCUCACAUAAUUCAAGGGAACACUUAGAAGUUUAUUAAAGGACAUGAAAAAAAACCCCACAAAUCAACAUCCAGGUGAAGCGAUGACAGGAAAAGGUCAGGAAGGGGCUCAAAUCCACAAACCGUGAGAUCAUGACCUGAGCCAAAACCAAGAGUCGGAUGCUUAACCAACUGAGCCACCCAGGUGCCCCAAUGACUUCAACCGAACAAAAAGGACCAGAAAUGAAGUAAAAGAUAAGCUAUAGUUCCACGGAAAUAGACUGCAAGUCAUUUAACAAAGGACUUAUAUUCAGCAUAUACAAAGAACUUCUACAAAUCAAGAAGAAAGACAUGAACAACAAAAAUGGGCAAAGAUAUGAAUAGGCAAUUCACUGGAAGGAAACACGAAUAUCCAAUAACCAAGACAUUCAGUAACCAGUGAUUUCUCCUGUCCUACUGAAUGGAUUAAUCCUGUCCACCGGCAAAAAUUUGCAUGGAUGCUCUACCUUAGGACAACAGCUCUCUUUCCCAUAUGUAUCUUUCCAGCGACUGUGCAUAUUUCUAUUUCCCUUCUUCCCUAAUGUCAAAGAAUUUAUAUAUAGUUGACACUUGAGCAAUGGAUCUUGGGCACUGACCACCACCACACAGCUGAAAAUCCACAUAUGACAUUGACUGCCCCCCUCUGCAACUUUACUACUAAUAGCCUACUGCUGAUCAGAAGCUUAACCAGUAACAUAAACAACACAGAUUUUGUGUCCUAUGUACUAUAUACUUUAUUCUUAUGAUAAAGUAAGCCAGAGAAAAGAAAACCUUCUUAAGAAAAUCACAAGGAGGAGGAAAUACAUUUACAGUGCUGUGCUGCAAAAGACCUGUAUGUAAGUGCACCAGUGCAGUUCAAGCCUGUGGUGUUCAAGGGUCAGCUGUAGUUUUUGCCUUGCACUCCAGCAGGGCAUCAGUCCCCAGCAGUCCUGUGGAAUAGCUCCUGGCAAACUCAUCACAGCCUUUGGGUUUGCCAACCCACAGUCUCUGCUAAUCUUGUGUUUCAGGGUGUGGAGUGGCUGGGCAGCUGGCUCCUCUUGGGAACAUGAUGUCCUGGCUUCUGUGACUCUGCAGCUUUCCUGUGCAACCUCCAAAUGCUCAAGGGCCCCAGGCCUCAGUCCUAGGCCCUUUACUCUCUUUACUUUCUUCCUGGGCAAUCACAUCAAAUCCCAUACCUUCAAGUACUGUUUACAUACUGAUGAUUCCUAAAUUCAUGUCUCCGGCCUGGACCUUUCCUGCAGCCCAAACUCAUAAACCCAGCAGCUUAGUCCUUAUCUCCAUUAGGAUCUCUCCUAGACAACUCCACUGAUGCCCCAAAUGGAAUUCCUGAGUCACCCCUACACCUGUUACUCCCACUCACCACCCCACCCCCACUCUCUAUCUCUGUGAAAGACCCAGACAUGUCUACCCAGGGGCUCAAGUCCAGCACCCAGGGGCCAACGCUAUGCUCACUGUAGAUCUCGGUGGCUCUACCUCAAAUAUGUCUUCAGUGCACACGCUUCUUUCCAUCCCUACCACCCCAAGCCAUGCUUUCCUGCUUAAACCAGUGUGACUGCCUCUUGGCUUUUCUUGUUCAGGAUAUAAAUCCAACAAUGGCUCCGGCUUAAAACCUGCCAAUAUCUUUCCACCAACAGUAAAAGAAUAUCCACGUGGCACAGA
This is a long non-coding RNA of Felis catus (domestic cat), 2157 nucleotides long. RefSeq lists it as uncharacterized. The transcript has 2 exons. NCBI's taxonomy places the organism in Eukaryota, Metazoa, Chordata, Mammalia, Carnivora, Felidae. The record is from RefSeq and is a predicted model, not a curated record.